This 332-nucleotide small nuclear RNA is filed under the name Erinaceus europaeus (western European hedgehog). RNAcentral's name for it is "7SK RNA (ENSEEUG00000017876.1)". It matches the Rfam family "7SK RNA". Rfam says of the family: 7SK was discovered as an abundant small nuclear RNA in the mid-70s but a possible function has only recently been suggested. Two independent studies have found that 7SK RNA binds the CDK9/cyclin T complex (known as elongation factor P-TEFb). Lineage: Eukaryota; Metazoa; Chordata; Mammalia; Eulipotyphla; Erinaceidae. The record is from RNAcentral.
GGAUGUGAGGAGGAUCUGGCUGCGACAUCAGUCACCCCAUUGAUCACCAGGGUUGAUUCAGCUGAUCUGGCUGGCUAGGCGGGUGUCCGCCUCCUGCCUCACCACUCCAUGUGCGUCCCUCCCGAAGCUGCGUGCUCCGUCGAAGAGGACGGCCUUCCCCGAAUAGAGACGGACCGGGUCUUCGGUCGAGGGUAUAGGAGUAGCUGCGCUCCCCUGCUAGAACCUCCAAACAAGCUCUCAAGGUCCAAGACAAAGCAUAGUGUAUAGAAUGGACAAUAUGCUAAAGAUAUGGACGUUAGCUGCUGGGUACUACAGGCUACAGUAAUUUAUUC